Molecule: ribosomal RNA, 376 nt
Filed under: uncultured bacterium
Lineage: Bacteria
Description: bacterial SSU rRNA
Rfam family: Bacterial small subunit ribosomal RNA
Source: RNAcentral
UACGGAGGGUGCGAGCGUUAAUCGGAAUUACUGGGCGUAAAGGGUGCGUAGGUGGUUUGUUAAGUUACACGUGAAAUCCCUGGGCUUAACCUGGGAGUGGCGUGUGAUACUGACGAACUCGAGUACGGGAGAGGGUAGUGGAAUUUCCGGUGUAGCGGUGAAAUGCGUAGAGAUCGGAAGGAACACCAGUGGCGAAGGCGGCUACCUGGCCUGAUACUGACACUGAGGCACGAAAGCGUGGGGAGCAAACAGGAUUAGAUACCCUGGUAGUCCACGCUGUAAACGAUGUCAACUAGCUGUUGGUCAUAUUAAGAUGAUUAGUGGCGCAGCAAACGCGAUAAGUUGACCGCCUGGGGAGUACGGUCGCAAGAUUAAA